UAGAUACCUUCUUCUCCUCUCUCUCAUCCUCCGCCCAAAGCCGUAGCCGGAAAUCGCCCACGGUGGAGGCACCACUCCAAACACCCCCAAAUCUUCGCCCGACAAUCCCCACCUCCUCCUCAUCCUAUAUUUCCUCUUAAUUUCCUCCAAAACACCCUAGGGUUCCCCGAUUUUUAGAUCUAAAUUCCAGAAAACCUAUCUUUUCCUCUUUUCUGAUUUCUUUGGCGAUUUCAACUCGUUUUGACCUAGAACCUACGUCGAUCGAUUGUUCUUAACAAGAACAAUUGAUUGACGUUGGUUUUGGUUCAUUCCGAAGCCGUCGGAUUUUGGUCAAUCAGUUGCUGACCAAUCAGAGCCCUUGAAACCUUGUCAUUCCAAUUCGAGUUCCGUCUAGGUACCUCUUUUGAACCUUGGACUAUAAAUUGGAUAUGAAGCAUGCCUAUGUGGAGGAUAUAUGAGUAUUGUGAAAUUGAUGGAAUCAGUCAUAUUCAGUUCUUAAUUCUUAUGUUCUUUCAAGCUUUUUAUUCUUUUUACUUCUUUUUUCUAGUUUCUUAUUCUACUUAGAAUUAGUAGAUCUAGGCCUGAAAUUGAUAUACAAGUUUCCUUAUAGUGUGUAAAAUGAUAAGUCUGCUACUGUAUUCUUCUGUGUUGGCCUCUAAUUUAAUGUUAAAUGUUCAGCAGCUCCUUAUUUUAUA
Nicotiana tabacum (common tobacco) is the source of this 695-nucleotide long non-coding RNA. RefSeq lists it as uncharacterized. The record is from RefSeq and is a predicted model, not a curated record. NCBI's taxonomy places the organism in Eukaryota, Viridiplantae, Streptophyta, Magnoliopsida, Solanales, Solanaceae.